RNA transcript from Physeter macrocephalus (sperm whale), 4783 nucleotides. It is a transcript of the gene named trafficking protein particle complex subunit 11, with no coding region annotated. The record is from RefSeq and is a predicted model, not a curated record. The transcript has 31 exons. Lineage: Eukaryota; Metazoa; Chordata; Mammalia; Artiodactyla; Physeteridae.
UGUGCCUGCGCGGGUCGGCCCUGGGAAGUCUCGCUUGUGGGCCCCGGCUCAGGGGCGGUGGCGGUAGGGACGGCCCCCGGCGUUUUGUGACAGCUCCCCCACCCCCACCGCCGCCUGCAUCCCCUGGUUCUCCCCCGGCUGGCGGCGACCGGCCACAGCUGCAGCGGGCUCGGGGCGUGCGGCCUGGAAUUUUCCUGACACCUUGAACAUGAGCCCCACACAAUGGGACUUCCCUGUGGAAUUAUGUUGUCGGCCUAUGGCUUUUGUUACUCUCACGGGCCUGGAUGUGGUUUAUAAUGCUGUCCAUCGAGCUGUCUGGGAUGCUUUCUGUGCCAAUCGGAGGGCCGAUCGGGUACCGAUUUCUUUCAAGGUGCUCCCAGGUGACCAUGAAUAUCCCAAAUGUAGACCCAAGAGAACUUCGUAUGAAUGGUACAUUCCCAAAGGGAUCCUAAAGACAGGCUGGAUGAACAAGCAUCUGAAUCUGGUGCCUGCCCUGGUGGUUGUGUUCUACGAACUGGACUGGGAUGAGCCCCAGUGGAAGGAAAAGCAGUCUGAGUGCGCGACCAGAGUGGAAAUAGUUAGGCAGAGUUUACAAGGGAGAAACACAAAAGUUGCAGUGGUUCUGAUUCAGAAGAAAACCCCUUUGCCCCCAGGAGAAGAUGUCAUUGCUUCAGAAAGGGCUGCAGCCUUGUGCAAUGCGUGUGAACUCUCGGGGAAGUCUUUGUUUGUACUGCCCCAUACGGACCACCUUGUGGGCUAUAUUAUAAGAUUAGAGAACGCCUUUUAUGAACAUGCACAGACUUAUUACUACACUGAGAUUAGAAGAGUGAAAUCUCAUAAAGAAUUUUUGAAUAAAACAACACACCAGCUUUUAUUUGUUAGACAUCAGUUCAAAAUAGCUUUCUUCAGUGAGUUGAAACAAGAUACACAAAAUGCUCUGAAGAAUUACAGGACCGCCUAUAAUCUUGUACAUGAAUUGAGAGCCCAUGAAACUAAUAUUCUGGAAAUUAAGACCAUGGCAGGAUUUAUAAACUACAAGAUCUGUAGGCUGUGUUUUCAGCACAACACCCCACUGGACGCAAUUGCUCAGUUCCGAAAGCACAUCGACUUGUGUAAGAAAAAAAUCGGAAGUGCAGAGUUGUCUUUUGAGCAUGCUGCAUGGAUGUCUAAACAAUUCCAGGCCUUUGGAGAUUUAUUUGAUGAAGCUAUCAAGUUGGGGUUGACAGCUAUUCAAACUCAGAAUCCUGGUUUCUAUUACCAGCAGGCAGCAUACUAUGCCCAGGAGCGGAAAGAGCUUACGAAAACCCUCUGUAACCAUGAAGCUUCUGUCACGUACCCCAGUCCUGAUCCCUUAGACACACAGACAGGAGUUCUUGACUUCUAUGGACAACGAUCGUGGCGACAAGGAGUACUAAGUUUUGAUCUUUCGGAUCCUGAAAAAGAGAAGGUGGGGAUUCUUGCCAUUCAGCUGAAGGAGAGAAGCGUUGUUCACUCUGAAAUAACAAUAACUCUUCUGAGCAAUGCUGUUGCGCAGUUUAAGAAAUAUAAAUGUCCAAGAAUGAAAAGUCACCUGAUGGUUCAAAUGGGAGAGGACUAUUAUUGUGCAAAGGAUUAUACCAAAGCUUUGAAGUUGCUGGAUUAUGUGAUGUGUGAUUAUCGGAGUGAAGGAUGGUGGACCCUGCUCACGUCUAUACUGACCACAGCUCUGAAGUGUUCCUACCUCAUGGCCCAACUGAAAGAUUACAUCACUUAUUCCCUAGAACUCCUCGGAAGAGCUUCAACUCUGAAAGAUGACCAGAAAUCUCGGAUAGAAAAGAACCUCAUAAAUGUUUUAAUGAAUGAAAGUCCUGAUCCUGAACCUGACUGUGAUAUAUUAGCUGUGAAAACUGCUCAGAAGCUGUGGGCGGACCGAAUUUCUCUGGCCGGCAGCAAUCUUUUCACAAUAGGCGUACAGGACUUUGUGCCAUUUGUGCAAUGCAAAGCCAGGUUCCACGCCCCAAGUUUUCAUGUCGAUGUUCCCGUGCGGUUCGAUAUUUAUCUGAAGGCUGAUUGUCCACAUCCCAUUAGGUUUUCUAAGCUCUGUGUUAGCUUUAAUAAUCAGGAAUACAACCAGUUCUGUGUAAUCGAAGAAGCAUCCAAAGCGAGUGACGUUUUAGAAAAUUUGACUCAGGGAAAGAUGUGCUUAGUUCCUGGUAAAACAAGGAAGUUUUUAUUUAAAUUUGUGGCAAAAACUGAAGAUGUGGGAAAGAAAAUUGAGAUCACAUCCUUGGAUCUGGUUCUGGGCAACGAGGCAGGAAGAUGCGUGGUGUUGCGUUGGCAGGGAGGAGGAGGAGAUGCCGCUUCCACCCAGGAAGCCUUACAGGCCUCCCGCUCUUUCAAAAGAAGGCCCAGGCUCCCCGCCAGCGAGGCUCACUGGGACAGCGUGGUGACCCAGGCGAGCACCAUGAUCAUUUCCCGAGUUCCAAACAUUUCUGUCCAUCUGCGACAUGACCCUCCUGCCCUGACUAACGAAAUGUACCCUUUGGUUGUGACUGUGCGAUCCCACGAGAAGACCCCCAUCAGAGACGUGAAGCUCACUGCUGGUUUAAAACCCGGACAGGAUGCCAAUUUAACUCAGAAGACUCAUGUGACUCUUCAUGGGACAGAACUGUGUGAUGAGUCCUACCCGGCUCUACUCACUGACAUUCCUGUCGGAGACCUACAUCCCGGGGAGCAGCUGGAAAAAAUGUUAUAUGUUCGCUGUGGAACAGUGGGCUCAAGAAUGUUUCUUGUGUAUGUUUCUUACCUGAUCAACACAGCUAUUGAAGAAAAAGAAAUUGUUUGCAAGUGUCACAAGGAUGAAACUGUAACAAUAGAAACCGUCUUUCCAUUUGACGUUGCAGUUAAAUUUGUUUCUACAAAGUUCGAGCACCUGGAAAGGGUUUAUGCCGACAUCCCCUUCCUGCUGAUGACGGACCUGUUGAGUGCCUCCCCCUGGGCCCUCACCAUCGUCUCCAGUGAGCUGCAGCUUGCUCCUUCCAUGACGCCCGUGGACCAGCUGGAGUCCCAGGUGGACAGCGUUGUCUUACGGACUGCAGAGAGCGCCAGUGAAUGCUUUUGUCUUCGUUGCCCAUCUGUUGGAAAUGUUGAAGGUGGAGUAGCAACUGGGCAUUAUAUUAUCUCCUGGAAGAGGACUUCAGCCACGGACAACAUUCCUGUCAUCAGCACUGUCAUCACUCUACCACACGUGAUUGUGGAAAAUAUCCCUCUCCACGUGAGCGCAGAUCUGCCAUCAUUCGGGCGUGUCAGAGAGUCGUUACCAGUCAAGUAUCACCUCCAGAAUAAGACCGACUUAGUUCAAGAUGUGGAGAUUUCUGUGGAGCCCAGUGACGCCUUCAUGUUCUCAGGUCUUAAACAGAUUCGAUUACGUAUCCUCCCUGGCACCGAACAGGAAAUGUUAUAUAAUUUCUACCCUCUGAUGGCCGGGUACCAACAGCUACCAUCUCUCAACAUCAACUUGCUCAGGUUUCCCAGCUUCACCAAUCAACUGCUCAGGCGUUUUAUACCCACCAGUAUUUUUGUAAAGCCCCAGGGCAGACUCAUGGACGAUGCCUCCAUUGCUGCCGCGUGACGCUCAGGACGGGCCUCGGCUGUUCUCACGGAGACGCUGGACGUAACUGCCGAAGUUUUUCAUGGUGAACUGUAGCUUGAUCGUGGUACAAGUUAAUCUUUGCUGUUUUUUAAUGGAUGUCGUACCAACUCUUCAGAGGAACUCAUGCUUAAAAUAUUAGGAAAAUCUAUCCUCUCUUAUAGUUUCACUAAUAAAUAUUUGAAAUCUGUCAGUGUGACGUGGAAGGAUGUCAGUCCUUUGUUACUGUUGAAAGUCAUUUUAUGGAUAGUAACGUCUUUUCAAAGUAAGGGAUUUGCGCCUGCAGUGGCCGAGGAAAGUUAAGCAUCUGAAAUAUGACUGGACAAGGGGAACACGCGCCAGUGUCUGCCCCAGGAAAGUUCUGAAUCCCCGGGUGUCUCUUUCAGAGUUGGCUAAACCGGAGGUAAAUCCAUCCUCGUGAAUCUAGCGUGCGCUCAGGAUACGUACACGGGAGCCGGAAAGCAGUCACGUGACUGAUGCAGAAAACUUCCAGAAAGUUUUAAUCAAAGCAAUUUAAGAUGUCUAAAAAAUAUCUUUGCUUACCAUCAAAACAUGUCAGAUAGGUUCAGCUUGCAGCCAAAACGUGGAUCAUUUACGAAGCAGCUCCGUGGAACAGCUUUUACUGCGAACACGGUUGCAGAGGUGUGGUGGAGUGUGUAGGGCUGGAAGUAGAUCCGUCUUCUCGAGCCAGCGCUGCUCACCUUCGGGGGAGCUGGGGCGGUGACGGGCUGGGAGGACGUGAGUUCCCGGUUCUCACGGCUUUACCGGUGGAGGCCACAGGAGUUUGUCGGAUUGUCUAGGGCCACAUCCCAGGUCCCGUGACUUUGUGCCUGAGUCCCUUUGUGCGUCUCUGUUCUUACCUGUAAGACGUGGAUGAUGAUAAUACUGUCUCAUAGACUUGAUAUGAGAAUGAUAGAAAUUAAAUACACAAGAGGAACUGUAAACAAAAGGUUCAUGAAAUAAUACUUUCUGUGUGCUCUUAUAUUUUAUAUCCUGCUCUGUUUUGUUAGAGAUAUUCCUGGUUUAGCCUGCUGAAUUGAUUUCAUGACUCACUAAGGGGAUGUAACCUGAUGUUUGAAAAACUCAAAGGUCCGUCUCAUGUCGUGCUUACGAAAUAAAGUUCUCAUGUGUCAACACCGCCAUCGUCAAACACAA